AUUGAACGCUGGCGGCAGGCUUAACACAUGCAAGUCGAACGGUAGCAGGAGAAAGCUUGCUUUCUUGCUGACGAGUGGCGGACGGGUGAGUAAUACUUGGGAAUCUGGCUUAUGGAGGGGGAUAACUACGGGAAACUGUAGCUAAUACCGCGUAGUAUCGGAAGAUGAAAGUGCGGGACCGUAAGGCCGCAUGCCAUAGGAUGAGCCCAAGUGGGAUUAGGUAGUUGGUGGGGUAAAGGCCUACCAAGCCUGCGAUCUCUAGCUGGUCUGAGAGGAUGGCCAGCCACACUGGAACUGAGACACGGUCCAGACUCCUACGGGAGGCAGCAGUGGGGAAUAUUGCGCAAUGGGGGGAACCCUGACGCAGCCAUGCCGCGUGAAUGAAGAAGGCCUUCGGGUUGUAAAGUUCUUUCGGUAUUGAGGAAGGUUGAUGUGUUAAUAGUACAUCAAAUUGACGUUAAAUACAGAAGAAGCACCGGCUAACUCCGUGCCAGCAGCCGCGGUAAUACGGAGGGUGCGAGCGUUAAUCGGAAUAACUGGGCGUAAAGGGCACGCAGGCGGUUAUUUAAGUGAGGUGUGAAAGCCCCGGGCUUAACCUGGGAAUUGCAUUUCAGACUGGGUAACUAGAGUACUUUAGGGAGGGGUAGAAUUCCACGUGUAGCGGUGAAAUGCGUAGAGAUGUGGAGGAAUACCGAAGGCGAAGGCAGCCCCUUGGGAAUGUACUGACGCUCAUGUGCGAAAGCGUGGGGAGCAAACAGG
Molecule: ribosomal RNA, 759 nt
Filed under: Haemophilus influenzae
Lineage: Bacteria; Pseudomonadati; Pseudomonadota; Gammaproteobacteria; Pasteurellales; Pasteurellaceae
Description: bacterial SSU rRNA
Rfam family: Bacterial small subunit ribosomal RNA
Source: RNAcentral